This 253-nucleotide ribosomal RNA is filed under the name uncultured bacterium. RNAcentral's name for it is "partial 16S ribosomal RNA". It matches the Rfam family "Bacterial small subunit ribosomal RNA", at positions 524 to 776 of the family's 1533-position model. The record is from RNAcentral.
UACGGAGGGUGCAAGCGUUAUCCGGAUUCACUGGGUUUAAAGGGGGCGUAGGUGGGUUGGUAAGUCAGUGGUGAAAUCCCCGAGCUUAACUUGGGAACUGCCAUUGAUACUAUUAGUCUUGAAUACUGUGGAGGUUAGCGGAAUAUGUCAUGUAGCGGUGAAAUGCUUAGAUAUGACAUAGAACACCAAUUGCGAAGGCAGCUGGCUACACAAAUAUUGACACUGAGGCUCGAAAGCGUGGGGAUCAAACAGG